AGUGAACGCUGGCGGUAGGCCUAACACAUGCAAGUCGAACGGCAGCACAGUAAGAGCUUGCUCUUACGGGUGGCGAGUGGCGGACGGGUGAGGAAUACAUCGGAAUCUACUUUUUCGUGGGGGAUAACGUAGGGAAACUUACGCUAAUACCGCAUACGACCUACGGGUGAAAGCAGGGGAUCUUCGGACCUUGCGCGAUUGAAUGAGCCGAUGUCGGAUUAGCUAGUUGGCGGGGUAAAGGCCCACCAAGGCGACGAUCCGUAGCUGGUCUGAGAGGAUGAUCAGCCACACUGGAACUGAGACACGGUCCAGACUCCUACGGGAGGCAGCAGUGGGGAAUAUUGGACAAUGGGCGCAAGCCUGAUCCAGCCAUACCGCGUGGGUGAAGAAGGCCUUCGGGUUGGAAAGCCCUUUUGUUGGUAAAGAAAAGCAGCAGGUUAAUACCCCGCUGUUCUGACGGUACCCAAAGAAUAAGCACCGGCUAACUUCGUG
RNAcentral lists this ribosomal RNA (492 nucleotides) under uncultured bacterium. RNAcentral describes it as "partial 16S ribosomal RNA". It matches the Rfam family "Bacterial small subunit ribosomal RNA", at positions 29 to 507 of the family's 1533-position model. The record is from RNAcentral.